AUGCGUGGAAAGAAAACCCGCGAUGACCGAAGGCUUCUCCAUGAUCUCCAUCAGUUCUCGACAGAAUAUUUAUCACGUGCAUCCAGUCCUUCAUGCUGUCUUUGCUGUAAACUGGUUGAAAGGGACAGAAGUGAGAGACUUAUUUACCCUCAUUUGAUAAAACUGUUUUGAAAAAAUAAUUUUACAUUUAGAAAUUUCAAGAAUUUCUGUUUCAGGUUUUUUAUUAGUUUAAAAACUUUUCCAAAUUCCAUUGGCCAAGGAGUUUUCUUGUUUGGGGGGUGGGGUCAGGGGCUUAGUUAACAGGUUUUAUUUGUAACUGCAGUCUGCUAGUCAUGUUUUGAUACUGAGAUUAAUAAGCAGUCAUAUCUAUGCAUAAAACUGCUGAUGGAGUUUAAUAUGUGUUUAAUAUGUCAUUAAACAUGGAUGUUUAUCAUAGCUUAAGCUGUUUUAAAUGGUCUUAAAGUGAUCUUAAGCUUCAAAGGUUGUUAUUUUUUCCUAAUAAAACACUCUUAACUACACAUUUUUGGGGUGGGGUCAGGCUUAGUUAACAGGUUUUAUUUGUAACUGCAGUCUGUUAGUCAUGUUUUGAUACUGAGAUUAAGAAGCUGUCAUGUCUAUGCAUAGAACUGCUAAUGUUGGAGUUGUAAUGUGUUUAAUAUGCCAUUGAACAUGGAUGUUUACUAUUGCUUAAGCUGUUUAAACUAUUUUAAAGUGAUCUUAAGCAUCAUAGGUUUCUGUGUGCUGGCUAUUUCUUGCAUUAUUUGUUCCUAAUAAAAGACUCUUAACUACACAUUGUCAUGGUAUUAUUUUGUGACAUUAUAACUGUAAAAUUAAAUUACAUUUAAAUUAAUUACCAGCACUGCAUAAAACAAGUAAAAUGUAUUUAAAAGAACAACUAAUUUUACUUAAUUAUAUCAGAUUUAUAAGUGAAAUUUACUCAAUAAAAUUUAACAGGUCAAGUUACAUGUACUUAUUCAUUUUUUUUAUUUUUACUUAAUUUAGUUAAGUAGAUUUACUUAAUUUGAAAAUGUGUGAAAUUUACUUGAAAAAUGCUUGUGCAAAAACUUGCCAAAUAAAAAUUAAGUAAAUUUACUGAUUGUUUUUUUCAGUGAAGUAAAGUCAUAACAUAAUGAUACCUUUGCAAAUAAUUAGCUAAUGAUUAAUUAAAGUAGACAACUGAAAGUUGAAGAACAUAGCUUUGACCACUGUGGUUAUUAUUAACACAUGAAUUUAAAUCAUCAGUUAAUAUAAUAUGUUAUUAGGGAACUAAUAGAUUAUGGCAAAUAUAACUAAUAACAAUUUAUUUAUUACUUAAUUUGUGUAUCAUAUAGAAUGUUCAUUUAGUUGCUAAUGUAGUAAUCAUUAGUAAAUGGUUUAGUUCUUUGUGAGUUAUACAUUAACUCGUGAUUAUCUAUGCAUUAGUUAAGCAUUAAUUAAUGCGUAUUUGUGCACCCGCAUUGUAAAGUGUUACCAGUGUGGAUAAUUACUGUACUUGAGUAUUUUUUCGGACGUGGUUCUGCCUACUACAAUCUAAAUAUAAAGGAGCUUUACGAUGCCAUAUAAUAACCUCUUUGUCUAAAUGGUUCCAUAAAGAACCUUUAACAUCUGAAGAAACAUUCUGUUUCACAAAAUGUUCUUUGUUGCAAGAGAAGGUUCUUCAGAAUAAAAAAAGAACCUUUGACUGAAUGGUUCUUUGCGAAAACAAAAAUGGUUCUUCUAUAGCAGGGGUUGGCAACCUUUUCGGCAUGACGUGUCAUUUUUAAUCUUUCUGGUAAACCACUGUGCCAAGAACCCCCCCCCCCACACACACACAUACACACAAACACACACACCCACACACACCUCAACCCACCCUUAUUUAAUGCAUUAUUAUACAGAAUGCAUUAACUCUUUGUAUAGUACAUACACAUUUUGAAAUGAUACGAUAAAACAAAACAAAACUAAACUAAAAUAAACAAAACAAUAGGCCUAUUUGAUUUUCAUGCAAAUAGUUUUUGGAGAUUUUUUCAUAAAUUGUUUCUUAAACUUUUCAAAAGUUUCUUGAAUAAAAGAUAUACAGUGUGACCGUACUGAACAUCACUGUAUGUGUGUAUGUGAGAAGGCCAAUGCAUUAAAACCGUUCCGUUUAAUCACCGUUCCUUGUGCGCGCAUACACACACACCACUGGCACACAGAGAUCUGAGAUCAUGCUGUGCAAAAAGUAACAUUCAAAAGCUCAUAAACUUGUUGUCAGCGCUGCCACGUGACUUUUAUUAAUCAAUACUGAAUCGCUACAUUGUAUUUCUCAGCAAGGAGGGGGUAAUUUGUAACUAAACUCAGCUUUAUUGUUUGUAGAGGGAGACAGACGCAGACAAUUUACAUCUCUCUCUCUCUCUCUCUCUCUCUCUCUCUCUCUCUCUCUCUGUCUCAAAAUAAAGUGGCCAUAUUUAAAAAAAAAAAAAAAGUAUUGGUAAGUUAAUACCUCAAAAUGUACGUCACUAUGCAGUUUUCCCUAAUGCUCGCGUGCCAGCGAUUAUCCCUCUACGUGCCACUGUUGGCACACGUAGGUUGACGACCCCUGUUCUAUAGCAUCACUGUGAAGAACCUUUUGAAGCACUUUUUUGUUUUUUAAGAGGGUAGGGCACUGAAAGUACAUUUUUUUUGUGUGUGUGUGUGUUUUGCCUUUACUCACUCAAACUUUUUAACAAGGCUACUUUACGAAUGCAAGUUCAAGUAGUUGUGAUUCACAGGUGUUUUAUAUGUAAGAUGAGGAAUGCAGCACAUGACAGGAAGUAAGUGCGCAAGACUUUCCCAGGUCUUAAAAACGCCAAAGCGUAUUGCCCUUACCUCACACUAAAUCCAAACUAUUUGGGCUCCGGAGUGCUAUUUGAGGCUUAGUACAUCCCAUCAUGCAUCAUGUUCUGGAAAUAAACCGUGAGCUGUGAUCUCACGAGAGGUCACAAAAACCUUUCCAGUGUAAGUUAAAUAUUAAUAUAAAAAUUAGAUAUUACAUAUAAUUUGGUAGAAAAACUAAAUUUUUAUUGGUGCAAAGAUGAGUAAUGGUGAUAUUUAUAUUGUAAAACAUUUGCAACUGCUUUUUAUUUCUUAGCCAGAAGCACCACAAAUUAAAUUGUGUCAUGUUAGGGACUACUGAACAGACAUUUAGAAGUUGAUUUUAAAAUGCAAAGUAUUAAAAAAAUAAAUAAAAAUAAAAUAAAGCUACAGUAUGUAAAUGCUUACAUUUUUACAACAAUAAGUGCAUCCCAUCAGGUAAUGAAAAGUUCAAUACACACAGUCUUCAUGCUCACUUGAACACUUGGGACAAAUAGAGGAAAUACGUCAUAUAAGUGAUCAAGUGCAAAGACCGCAAGUGUGGGUAUUUGGACAAGGCAUUUCUUGUUUUGUUUUGUAGUCAGUUUGUAGUCCGUUUGUUCAUUGGUUCCCCUUGAUUAGUCUCCAGAGGUGUGUCUUGCUACCUUAAGCUUGUUAGCCCCUGUGGAUAUGGCCCCAGUGUUUGUGGUCCUACACACAGUGCUUGAAGUGGGCCGGUACAUCUAUAUUUUAGCCUUUAGAGUACCUGCACUUGUUUGUGCGUACCGGCCCUUCUGAUAUGUUGCCAGUACUCAGAGUAAAAGCAUCAGGGUCUGGGUGAUUAUAUGAUCCCAUAUAUCAGUGGUUCCCAAUCCUGGUCCUGGAGAACCCCCAACACUGCACAUUUUUGGUGUCUCUCUUAUCUGACACACACAUUUGAGGUCUUGGAGUCUUCACUAAUGAGCUGAUGAGUUGAAUCAGGUGUGUUUGAAUAGGGAGACGUCUAAAAUGUGCAGUGUUGGGGGUUCUCCAGGACCAGGAUUGGGAACCACUGCCAUGUAUGAUUAGGAAGGACACUAGAGGUUAUCCCGCCUGGGUAGUGUGAUUUAUAUAAUCUCGAC
Long non-coding RNA from Cyprinus carpio carpio, 3911 nucleotides. The record is from Ensembl. NCBI's taxonomy places the organism in Eukaryota, Metazoa, Chordata, Actinopteri, Cypriniformes, Cyprinidae.